Molecule: ribosomal RNA, 478 nt
Filed under: uncultured organism
Description: partial 16S ribosomal RNA
Rfam family: Bacterial small subunit ribosomal RNA
Source: RNAcentral
UACACUCCUACGGGAGGCAGCAGUGGGGAAUUUUGGACAAUGGGCGAAAGCCUGAUCCAGCAAUGCCGCGUGUGUGAAGAAGGCCUUCGGGUUGUAAAGCACUUUUGUCCGGAAAGAAAUCCUUGGCUCUAAUACAGUCGGGGGAUGACGGUACCGGAAGAAUAAGCACCGGCUAACUACGUGCCAGCAGCCGCGGUAAUACGUAGGGUGCGAGCGUUAAUCGGAAUUACUGGGCGUAGAGCGUGCGCAGGCGGUUUGCUAAGACCGAUGUGAAAUCCCCGGGCUCAACCUGGGAACUGCAUUGGUGACUGGCAGGCUAGAGUAUGGCAGAGGGGGGUAGAAUUCCACGUGUAGCAGUGAAAUGCGUAGAGAUGUGGAGGAAUACCGAUGGCGAAGGCAGCCCCCUGGGCCAAUACUGACGCUCAUGCACGAAAGCGUGGGGAGCAAACAGGAUUAGAAACCCUGGUAGUCCCAUGAU